This is a long non-coding RNA of Sinocyclocheilus rhinocerous, 774 nucleotides long. RefSeq lists it as uncharacterized. NCBI's taxonomy places the organism in Eukaryota, Metazoa, Chordata, Actinopteri, Cypriniformes, Cyprinidae. The transcript has 4 exons. The record is from RefSeq and is a predicted model, not a curated record.
GACUGACUACAGAUGGGUCAGUUUUUGAUUUAGAGAGCAAAUAGAAAUAAUUUAAUCAUUAUUUUUAUCCAUCAGGUCUGUACUGCAGCAAUGCAUCACUUCAUUUCCAUUGCGUUUUCACUGCUGAUCUUUACUGGGCUGCAUGUGAGUGUUCGGUCCACAGGAAGACGUUUGGAGCGGAGCAGCGAAAGACAUUUUACAUCAUUGCUGACUGUUUCGAAUGGGAUGCACUGGGGAUCGUGGGGUCGAAGUGAGUACAUACACCAAGGGGUUUAAUGUGAAGGUAGAAAGACAUGAUUAUUUUAUAACACCGCACUCAAUGCGAUUUAUCUUUUCUGUGAAAGUCAAUCUAAUGACGCAUCAGGCAUCAUUCGGUCUGACGAAGGAAGCUUUGGUCAGUGGAUAGAUUAUAUCCAAAUGUGUCCUAAUGGAUUCGUAACAGCUUUUCAGUUGAAAGUUGAAUCUUCCCAAGGAAUUGGUGAUGAUACGGCCGUAAACAACAUCAGUGUCUGAAAUGCUUCGAUCAAGGAUUCAGUCUCUAAACCCCACCUUUGCUCUGAUUGGUCAGAAACCAAACUCCUAUUAUCAUAUCUGAGGGUGUAUUCACACCUGUCUUGUUUGGUUCGAUUGAAACUAACUCAGGUUCGUUUCCCCCUUUGGUGCGGAUCUUUGGGGCAGGUGUGAAUACAGUAAUCGCACUCAGGUGCGCACCAAACAACCGCACCGAGACCCAGCUGAAGAGGUGGUCUCGGUCCGCUUCCAAACAAACUCUGG